RNAcentral lists this ribosomal RNA (253 nucleotides) under uncultured bacterium. Its description in RNAcentral is "partial 16S ribosomal RNA". It matches the Rfam family "Bacterial small subunit ribosomal RNA", at positions 524 to 776 of the family's 1533-position model. The record is from RNAcentral.
UACGGGGGGGGCAAGCGUUGUUCGGAAUUACUGGGCGUAAAGGGCGCGUAGGCGGUUCGAUAAGUCAGCUGUGAAAACCAUGGGCUUAACUCGUGGCCUGCAGUUGAGACUGUCGAGCUGGAGUGUGGGAGAGGAGAGUGGAAUUCCUGGUGUAGCGGUGAAAUGCGUAGAUAUCAGGAGGAACACCGGUGGCGAAGGCGGCUCUCUGGACCACAACUGACGCUGAGGCGCGAAAGCUAGGGGAGCAAACAGG